This 253-nucleotide ribosomal RNA is filed under the name uncultured bacterium. RNAcentral's name for it is "partial 16S ribosomal RNA". It matches the Rfam family "Bacterial small subunit ribosomal RNA", at positions 524 to 776 of the family's 1533-position model. The record is from RNAcentral.
UACAGAGGGGGCGAGCGUUGUUCGGAAUUACUGGGCGUAAAGGGCGCGUAGGCGGCCUUCUAAGUCGAACGUGAAAUCCCCGGGCUCAACCCGGGAACUGCGUCCGAUACUGGAUGGCUUGAAUCCGGGAGAGGGAUGCAGAAUUCCAGGUGUAGCGGUGAAAUGCGUAGAUAUCUGGAGGAAUACCGGUGGCGAAGGCGGCAUCCUGGACCGGCAUUGACGCUGAGGAGCGAAAGCCAGGGGAGCAAACGGG